Molecule: ribosomal RNA, 1401 nt
Filed under: metagenome
Description: bacterial SSU rRNA
Rfam family: Bacterial small subunit ribosomal RNA
Source: RNAcentral
UAACACAUGCAAGUCGCACGAGAAAGGGAGCAAUCCUAAGUAAAGUGGCGUACGGGUGAGUAACACGUGGAUCAUCUACCUUCUAGUGGGGAAUACCUCCGGGAAACUGGAGACAAUACCGCAUAAGCUCGAAAGAGGAAAGCAGCAAUGCGCUGGAAGAGGAGUCCGCGGUCGAUUAGCUAGAUGGUGAGGUAAUGGCUCACCAUGGCGAAGAUCGAUAGCCGGCCUGAGAGGGCUCACGGCCACACUGGCACUGAAACACGGGCCAGACUCCUACGGGAGGCAGCAGUGGGGAAUCUUGCACAAUGGAGGAAACUCUGAUGCAGCGACGCCGCGUGAGUGAUGAAGCCCUUCGGGGUGUAAAGCUCUUUCGACAGGAACGAUAAUGACGGUACCUGAAGAAGAAGCUGCGGCUAACUACGUGCCAGCAGCCGCGGUAAUACGUAGGCAGCAAGCGUUGUUCGGAAUUACUGGGCGUAAAGAGUGUGUAGGCGGUGCUCUAAGUUUGGUGUGAAAUCUCCCGGCUCAACCGGGAGGCUGCAUCGAAUACUGGAAUGCUAGAGGGUGGGAGAGGUAAGCGGAAUUCCUGGUGUAGCGGUGAAAUGCGUAGAUAUCAGGAGGAACACCUGUGGUGUAGACAGCUUACUGGACCACUUCUGACGCUGAGACACGAAAGCGUGGGUAGCAAACAGGAUUAGAUACCCUGGUAAUCCACGCCUUAAACGAUGAUUACUCGAUGUGUGCAAUACACCGUACGCGUCCUAGCGAAAGCGUUAAGUAAUCCACCUGGGGAGUACGAUCGCAAGGUUGAAACUCAAAGGAAUUGACGGGGGCCCGCACAAGCGGAGGAGCAUGUGGUUUAAUUCGAUGAUACGCGAGGAACCUUACCUGGGCUUGAAAGUUAGUGACCGGUGGUGAAAGCCACUUUUCCGCAAGGACACGAAACUAGGUGCUGCAUGGCUGUCGUCAGCUCGUGCCGUGAGGUGUUGGGUUAAGUCCCGCAACGAGCGCAACCCCUAUCUUUAGUUGCCAGCGAGUAAUGUCGGGGACUCUAGAGAAACUGCCCGUGCAAACGGUGAGGAAGGUGGGGAUGACGUCAAGUCAGCACGGCCCUUACGUCCAGGGCUACACACGUGCUACAAUGGCGAGUACAAAGGGCAGCUACACAGUGAUGUGAUGCUAAUCUCUAAAGCUCGUCUCAGUUCGGAUUGAAGUCUGCAACUCGACUUCAUGAAGCUGGAUUCGCUAGUAAUCGUAGAUCAGCAAUGCUACGGUGAAUACGUUCCCGGGCCUUGUACACACCGCCCGUCAAGCCAUGGAAGUUGGGAGUACCUGAAGUCCAUCACCGCAAGGAGUGGCCUAGGGUAAAACCAAUGACUGGGGCUAAGUAGUAACAAGGUA